GAAGCCCCGGCACCUUUUGGGGUGCUUCUCCAGACUUGCAAUCUGUUGUACACCGUACUGCGGGG
Molecule: transfer RNA, 65 nt
Filed under: Goggia essexi
Lineage: Eukaryota; Metazoa; Chordata; Lepidosauria; Squamata; Gekkonidae
Description: tRNA-Cys
Source: RNAcentral